Molecule: ribosomal RNA, 1063 nt
Filed under: uncultured organism
Description: bacterial SSU rRNA
Rfam family: Bacterial small subunit ribosomal RNA
Source: RNAcentral
AUAUCCUAUUAGCUUGUUGGUGCGGUAACGGCGCACCAAGGCGAUGAUGGGUAGCCGGCCUGAGAAGGCGACCGGUCACACUGGGACUGAGAGAGGUGCCCAGACUCCUACGGGAGGCUGCAGUCGAGAAUCUUCCGCAAUGGGCGCAAGCCUGACGGAGCGACGCCGCGUGGAUGAAUGAAGGCCUUCGGGUUGUAAAGUCCUGUCAGAUGGGGAGAAACGCAUGCGGUUAAUAGCCGGCCUGCUUGACAAUCCAUCACAGGAAGUCACGGCUAAAUUCGUGCCAGCAGCCGCGGUAAUACGAAUGUGGCAAGCGUUGUUCGGAAUCAUUGGGUUUAAAGGGUGCGUAGGCGGCGGGUUAAGUCGCGUGUGAAAUCCCUCAGCUCACCUGGGGAAUGGCGCCCGAUACUGAUUCACUUGAGUACGGAGGAAGAGAGCGGAAUUCUGGGUGUAGCGGUGAAAUGUGGCGAUAUCCAAGAGGAAGACCAGUGGCGAACGCCGGCUCUCUAAUUUCGAUACUGACGCUGAGGCACGAAAUCCAUGGGAUCGAACGGGAUUAGAUACCCCGGUAGUCCUGGCCCUAAACGAUGAGCACUGGGUGGGGGGGAUUUUGAUGUCUUCUCUGGCGUAGCGAAAGCGUUAGUUGGUCCACCUGAGGAGUACGGUCGCGAGAUUAAAACUCAUAGGAAUUGACGGGUGCUUGCACAAGCGGUGCAGGAUGUGGUCUAAUUCGAUGCAACGCGAAGAACAUUACCUGGGCUUGACAUGCUGGGAUUAACCCUGUGAAAGCAGGGGGAUUGCCCAUCCGGGUGUAACCAGUACAGGUCUUGCAUGGCAGUCGUCAGUUCAGUGUCGUGAGAUGUCGGGUUAAGUCCCUUAACGAGCGAAGCCCUUGUCCUUAGUUGCCAGCGGAUCAUGCCGGGGAGUCUAAGCAUAUUGCCGGUGUCGAAAACCGGAUGACCACGGGGAUGACGUCAAGUCAUCAUGGCCCUUACGCCCAGGGCUACACACGUCGUACAAUGGACGGUACAAAGAGAAGCAAUGCCGCGAGGUGGAGCAAAUC